GUAGGGAAUAUUGGGCAAUGGAAGGAAUUCUGACCCAGCCAUGCCGCGUGCAGGAAUACAGUCCUAUGGACUUUAAACUGCUUUUAUUAUAGAGUAACCUGGGGGACGUGUCCCCCACUGCAAGUAUAUAAUGAAUAAGCAUCGGCUAACUCCGUGCCAGCAGCCGCGGUAAUACGGGGGAUGCAAGCGUUAUCCGGAUUUAUUGGGUUUAAAGGGUGCGCAGGCUUAUCGGUAAGUCAUGGGUGAAAAGUCACUGCUUAACAGUGAUCGUGCCUAUGAUACUGCCGGACUAGAGUUUAAGAGGUGUAACUGGAAUGUGAUGUGUAGCGGUGAAAUGCUUAGAUAUGUCACAGAACGCCAAUCGUGAAGGCAGGUUACAAACUUAAUACUGACGCUCAUGCACGAAAGCGUGGGGAUCAAACAGGAUUAGAAACCCCAGUAGUCC
RNAcentral lists this ribosomal RNA (445 nucleotides) under uncultured bacterium. RNAcentral describes it as "partial 16S ribosomal RNA". It matches the Rfam family "Bacterial small subunit ribosomal RNA", at positions 354 to 796 of the family's 1533-position model. The record is from RNAcentral.